Molecule: ribosomal RNA, 103 nt
Filed under: uncultured bacterium
Lineage: Bacteria
Description: partial 16S ribosomal RNA
Rfam family: Bacterial small subunit ribosomal RNA
Source: RNAcentral
UACACACCGCCCGUCACACCAUGGGAGUUGGUUUUACCUUAAGACGGUGUGCUAACCAGCAAUGGAGGCAGCCGGCCACGGUAAGGUCAGGCGACGUGGGGUG